Molecule: ribosomal RNA, 503 nt
Filed under: uncultured bacterium
Lineage: Bacteria
Description: bacterial SSU rRNA
Rfam family: Bacterial small subunit ribosomal RNA
Source: RNAcentral
GAUGAACGCUAGCGGCAGGCCUAACACAUGCAAGUCGAACGGUAACAGCAGAGCUUGCUCUGGCUGACGAGUGGCGCACGGGUGCGUAACGCGUAUACAAUCUACCUAUUACUGGAGUAUAGCCCGAAGAAAUUUGGAUUAAUCCUCCAUAGUAUUAUUGAAUGGCAUCAUUUUAUAAUUAAAACUACGGUGGUAAUAGAUGAGUAUGCGUCCUAUUAGUUUGUUGGUAAGGUAACGGCUUACCAAGGCAUCGAUAGGUAGGGGUCCUGAGAGGGAGAUCCCCCACACUGGUACUGAGACACGGACCAGACUCCUACGGGAGGCAGCAGUGAGGAAUAUUGGACAAUGGAGGCAACUCUGAUCCAGCCAUGCCGCGUGCAGGAAGACUGCCCUAUGGGUUGUAAACUGCUUUUAUAGAGGAAGAAACCUCCCUACGUGUAGGGAGCUGACGGUACUCUACGAAUAAGGAUCGGCUAACUCCGUGCCAGCCGCCGCCGUAACAC